UACGGAGGGUGCGAGCGUUGUCCGGAAUCAUUGGGCGUAAAGGGCGCGUAGGUGGCCCGGUCAGUUCGUGGUGAAAGCGCGGGGCUCAACCCUGCGUCGGCCAUGAAUACUGCCGCGGCUGGAGCACUGUAGAGGCAGGCGGAAUUCCGGGUGUAGCGGUGGAAUGCGUAGAGAUCCGGAAGAACACCGGUGGCGAAGGCGGCCUGCUGGGCCAGUUGCUGGACACUGAGGCGCGACAGCGUGGGGAGCAACAGG
RNAcentral lists this ribosomal RNA (255 nucleotides) under uncultured bacterium. Its description in RNAcentral is "partial 16S ribosomal RNA". It matches the Rfam family "Bacterial small subunit ribosomal RNA", at positions 524 to 775 of the family's 1533-position model. The record is from RNAcentral.